AACGAACGCUGGCGGCAUGCCUAACACAUGCAAGUCGAACGAGACCUUCGGGUCUAGUGGCGCACGGGUGCGUAACGCGUGGGAACCUGCCCUUAGGUUCGGAAUAACUCCCCGAAAGGGGUGCUAAUACCGGAUAAUGUCUUCGGACCAAAGAUUUAUCGCCUUUGGGUGGGCCCGCGUUGGAUUCGCUAGUUGGUAGGGGAAAAGCCUACCAAGGGGACGAUCCAUAGCUGGUCUGAGAGGAGGAUCAGCCAGACUGGGACUGAGACACGGCCCAGACUCCUACGGGAAGCAGCAGUGGGGAAUAUUGGACGAUGGGCGAAAGCCUGAUACAGCAAUGCCGCGUGAGUGAUGAAGGCCUUAGGGUUGUAAAGCUCUUUUACACGGGAUGAUAAUGACAGUAACGGGAGAAUAAGCUCCGGCUAACUACGUG
Molecule: ribosomal RNA, 433 nt
Filed under: uncultured bacterium
Lineage: Bacteria
Description: partial 16S ribosomal RNA
Rfam family: Bacterial small subunit ribosomal RNA
Source: RNAcentral